Molecule: long non-coding RNA, 1480 nt
Filed under: Triticum aestivum (bread wheat)
Lineage: Eukaryota; Viridiplantae; Streptophyta; Magnoliopsida; Poales; Poaceae
Description: long non-coding RNA (TAES_LNC003031)
Source: RNAcentral
UAGUUCGUUAGCUAGAAAGUGAUCUGUUCUCGGUACCACACCUAUUGGAAGAAAAUUCUGUUUCUGUUUUACAGAAAAAAAGAAAGGACAAAACUCUGUUUGGUGGCGCAAUAUUGACAUACAAUUAUAAUUUAAAACAGACCUGAUAAGUGCCACACGUGUGGCACAAACACAUAGCAACCCCAAACAUUUUUUAUGAUAAGUUUAAGGCCACUGCUAGGCGCCGGCGCACCGGCCCAACUUUCGGCCGGUCGCCAAGCAGCCGUUGGAUUCAGGCAAAAGUAGCCGCAUGAUUUCCUCUCUAUCCUUCCACACAUCAUGCCUCCUCCCACAACGAGUCACCACACUCAGCCAACCGCCCCCACCCCGCGGCCUUGCCGCACAAAGCUUGCGCACCCCGCGGCAGCCGCCAUCGCCAUGGGUUGCAGGUCGCCACCUCUCUCCGCAGCUCGCCGUUGCUGUUGUCGCACACCCUCCACAUCUCGUCGUCGAUCCAGCAACACCCUCCUGCUGCAUGCAGCUCCCGUCGAUGGCCGGAUGCAGCUCGGACAGCAAAAACUCAUGCCUCCCAUCGUAGCACGGCGUCGCCGUCUCUACGGGCCUCCAUUGUCGAUGUGCAUCGUACCUAAAGAAAUCUGGUGGUCGGUUGAAGCAAAAUCAAAAAACGCUUCCAGCAAAACCAAACUUAGGUUCCAGCAAAAAUGACAUGAGCAUUUGAGAACUCUGCAGCCAAUGAAACAAAAAUUUAUCUCGGUUCCAGCAAAACAAUACAUCGGUUCCAGCAAAAAGAAAAUUGUUCAGCAAAAUACAGCCACCCCGCUUGCGGCUCCCCCAGUCGCCCGUUGUAGCUCCAGCGUACACGGUUGCAACUUCCAGCGUUCGAACGGCGUUGGCCGCAACCCUCCUUGCCACUGGAUGCAGCUUCCUCCGGCGUGGUGUCGACCUUGCAGCAUAUCCACCAGUUGGUUCCAGCAAAAACGGGCCCCGGUUCCAGCAAAAAUCCAAAUGUUCAUAAAAAAUCGAAUGGGGAUGAUAGCAAAAGGAGAAAGGGGUUGUAGCAAAACAAAUGGGUGGAUCCAGCAAAACAAAUACCUGGUUCCAGCACAAAUUCGUCGCCCCUGUGGCCAAUUGCAGCUUGGCCAUGCGACUAACGAACCCUGGUUGCGAUGGCCAUGAAGAGGGCGCACAUCUAGUUCCGGCAGACAAGACGACGAGCACUGCACCUCUGCUCGCUGAUCGUUGUACGACGCGCACCUCUACAUCUUCGUGUGUGCUCCUCUGGGAUCGCCUGCUCGCCACGCACCUAUUCUGCGGCCGGCGAGCUGUUUAUUUGGAGGUAGGCCAUGGGAGAGAGAGUAUGCAGGGGAGGAAUUGCUGUGGGGGUUGAGGAUGCAUGCGACAGGAUGAGAGAAGAAAGGAUAAGGCAGAGGAGCUGCUGGCGUGAGUGGAUAAAAAAGCUGUGGAGGUCAGCGGAUAAGGG